AACUACUCGAUUAGGCUCCUCAAGCACUCGAAUAGCAGCAUAUAAAGGAGUUCGAACUCAACUUGAAACUCGACACGAGUAAAUUGAACUCGAACUCGAGUUCAAACUCAGCUUAAUUUGACGGAGCUCAAAGUCAAACUUAUUUUGACCGAAUAUUUACUGGGUGUUGGACAAGAGCGGCUUGAUCCGGUAGCACUCCUACUCUAACCCAAAAACAAAAAGGGGAAGAAAACAAAGAGUAAUAUUUAGCAUAAGCUAUAUACAAUCACCCUUUAGUUUUUGUUUGGUUGAAAAUAAGCCUGAUUGCUACCAAUUUUGAACUGAGCCAUAGUAAAACAGCUGAAAUUAUGAAAAAUUGAUUGAGGCUCAAUAAAGUGGACUGGAUGAUACUUUAUGGGCAGGCCUUUCUCAAAGAUUAUCUUCCUUUUCUCCAAAAAAUCAACAGAGAACAACGACGCAUGGAUUCUGCGCAACAAUUUUCUUGAUUUCUUACACACCCUGGAAUGGCCAUCCAUUUAAUUGUCAAGAGUAAACGAUCUUGCCAACUAGCUGCAUCAAGAAUAACUGUCCCAAUCAAACGCCAAAAUCUACUGCUCAUGGCUACUCACGAGUCAACUAAAGAAUCCACAAACUUCGGGUGAACUGAGUAAAUAAAUGAACCACAACAACUACAAAGCAAGAAUAUAGUAACUAAAUUUGGACCAAUUAAUUACCAUCAAAAGCUUCAACCGUCAAAUGCUUCAUAUGCAGAGCCUAUACAGUGAUUACGUGCAAAGCAAUAUGGCAUGAUCUGCCAUGCUGAUUCUACUUCAGAAGAAAGAAGGAAUUGGUAAGCUCAUUAUGGGAUUUACCCUCUUGCUGUUUUCCAUAUUGGCAGUUUCUUCUGGAGAUCUUUUAUAAGUAUUUUGUAAUCUUUGCAGUACUAGUACCUGAAAGUACCAAGUUUGAAAAAAAAAACAAAAAAGUACUAAUGAAUGGAAGGUGCACAGAAGCUCACAUGGCUGAUUCUGCCGACUAUUAGAAUAGAAUGAAGGUUUGAUGCAUUAGGAGACACGUAUUGCUGCCAAGAAAUGCGUGACAGAGCAAAAUGAGUGUGAAAUUGACGAUAUUCAACCAUAUUCCAUUGUCUUUUUGCUGAGCCAAAACUUAGGGGGAUUGAGUUUCAACUGGAGCAAGUAUCAUACAGUCGGUGGAAUGGAACAAAGUGGUUGGCAAAUUCAAGGUGAAGAAGACUUUAAUGAAUUCGGACCCUCCUCUUUUUUCUUUCUUUUUCAUGCAGCUCCUUCUUCCCGUUUCAACGAUGUGGGGUUUCUUUUAAGAAGAUGUUGAGUUUAUGAAAAUGCAAUUUUCGGUUUGAUUUGAAUGUUAUGCCAACAUUUCAGAUAUUUCUUCGCGAUAAUACAACCAAAAAAAAGUGGUGGA
RNAcentral lists this long non-coding RNA (1422 nucleotides) under Coffea arabica (coffee). RNAcentral describes it as "long non-coding RNA (CARA_LNC004551)". Lineage: Eukaryota; Viridiplantae; Streptophyta; Magnoliopsida; Gentianales; Rubiaceae. The record is from RNAcentral.